Molecule: ribosomal RNA, 120 nt
Organism: Loxodonta africana (African savanna elephant)
Lineage: Eukaryota; Metazoa; Chordata; Mammalia; Proboscidea; Elephantidae
Source: Rfam
CACAGUAGAACUGCCGCCCUGAAAGCACUCAAUCUUGUCUGAUCUCAAAAGCUAAGCAGGAUCAGGCCUGGUUAGUACUUGGAUUGGAGACUACCUGGGAAUACCAGGUGUAGGCUUUUG